This is a non-coding RNA of Triticum aestivum (bread wheat), 125 nucleotides long. The record is from Rfam. Lineage: Eukaryota; Viridiplantae; Streptophyta; Magnoliopsida; Poales; Poaceae.
ACAAUACUCCCUCCGUCCGGAAAUAUUUGUUGAAGAAAUGGAUAUAUUUAGAUGUAUUUUAGUUCUAGAUACAUCCAUUUUUAUUCAUUUUUCGUACAAGUAUUUCCGGACGGAGGGAGUAUGUU